ACCGCCUUAGCUCAGUGCACUGGAUGUGGUAGAGCGUCGGGCUUUUAACCUGAAGGCCGAGGGUUCGAGUCCCUCAGGCGGUG
This is a transfer RNA of 83 nucleotides. It matches the Rfam family "tRNA". From Rfam's summary of the family: Transfer RNA (tRNA) molecules are approximately 80 nucleotides in length. The record is from Rfam.